Molecule: long non-coding RNA, 205 nt
Filed under: Elaeis guineensis (African oil palm)
Lineage: Eukaryota; Viridiplantae; Streptophyta; Magnoliopsida; Arecales; Arecaceae
Description: long non-coding RNA (EGUI_LNC061219)
Source: RNAcentral
UCGCGACAAUGGACACCACUCCACUCUCCAUAACAAACUCCACGUGAUCCUGAACGGCCCCCUGACGCCACUACUCUCUGUAACAAACUCCGUGUGGCCCUGAACAGCCCACUACCAGGCAGUUACAGACAUCACUGUCAAUCAGUUAUGCUCUCCAUCUAUAAAAAGGAACCUUCAAAUACGUUCUUCUCUAAGCUCUAAACUC